Molecule: transfer RNA, 60 nt
Filed under: Mus musculus (house mouse)
Lineage: Eukaryota; Metazoa; Chordata; Mammalia; Rodentia; Muridae
Rfam family: tRNA
About the family: Transfer RNA (tRNA) molecules are approximately 80 nucleotides in length. Their secondary structure includes four short double-helical elements and three loops (D, anti-codon, and T loops).
Source: Rfam by way of RNAcentral
AUGGUUUGGUUGGUAAAGUACUUGCUUUGCAAGCAAGAAGACUUGAGUUCAAGUCUUACU